RNAcentral lists this ribosomal RNA (460 nucleotides) under uncultured bacterium. RNAcentral describes it as "partial 16S ribosomal RNA". It matches the Rfam family "Bacterial small subunit ribosomal RNA", at positions 338 to 795 of the family's 1533-position model. The record is from RNAcentral.
CCUACGGGUGGCAGCAGUGAGGAAUAUUGGUCAAUGGACGAGAGCCUGAACCAGCCAAGUAGCGUGAAGGAUGACUGCCCUAUGGGUUGUAAACUUCUUUUAUAUGGGAAUAAAAUGUUCCACGUGUGGGAUUUUGUAUGUACCAUAUGAAUAAGGAUCGGCUAACUCCGUGCCAGCAGCCGCGGUAAUACGGAGGAUCCGAGCGUUAUCCGGAUUUAUUGGGUUUAAAGGGAGCGUAGGUGGAUUGUUAAGUCAGUUGUGAAAGUUUGCGGCUCAACCGUAAAAUUGCAGUUGAAACUGGCAGUCUUGAGUACAGUAGAGGUGGGCGGAAUUCGUGGUGUAGCGGUGAAAUGCUUAGAUAUCACGAAGAACUCCGAUUGCGAAGGCAGCUCACUGAACUGCAACUGACACUGAGGCUCGAAAGUGUGGGUAUCAAACAGGAUUAGAUACCCUGGUAGUC